RNAcentral lists this unclassified non-coding RNA (25 nucleotides) under Mus musculus (house mouse). RNAcentral describes it as "oocyte_clustered_small_RNA5343". The record is from RNAcentral. Lineage: Eukaryota; Metazoa; Chordata; Mammalia; Rodentia; Muridae.
UGAGAGCAGCUCAAAGAGGCCUAUG